CCGAGGCGUGAGGGCGGACGUGUGGC
This 26-nucleotide non-coding RNA is filed under the name Cricetulus griseus (Chinese hamster). The record is from RNAcentral. Lineage: Eukaryota; Metazoa; Chordata; Mammalia; Rodentia; Cricetidae.